CACAGGGCCACAAUAAUGGCAUUUGUUGGGGUAACCAACUAUUUGUUACUGUUGUUGAUACUACACGCAGUACAAAUAUGUCAUUAUGUGCUGCCAUAUCU
This 101-nucleotide microRNA precursor is filed under the name Human papillomavirus 16. RNAcentral's name for it is "Human papillomavirus type 16 HPV16-miR-H6". The record is from RNAcentral. Lineage: Floreoviria; Shotokuvirae; Cossaviricota; Papovaviricetes; Zurhausenvirales; Papillomaviridae.